This 392-nucleotide ribosomal RNA is filed under the name uncultured Gammaproteobacteria bacterium. RNAcentral describes it as "bacterial SSU rRNA". It matches the Rfam family "Bacterial small subunit ribosomal RNA", at positions 370 to 779 of the family's 1533-position model. The record is from RNAcentral. Lineage: Bacteria; Pseudomonadati; Pseudomonadota; Gammaproteobacteria.
AAUGGAGGAAACUCUGAUGCAGCGAUGCCGCGUGAGUGAAGAAGGCCCUUGGGUUGUAAAGCUCUUUCGUCGGGGAAGAAAAUGACUGUACCCGAAUAAGAAGGUCCGGCUAACUUCGUGCCAGCAGCCGCGGUAAUACGAAGGGACCUAGCGUAGUUCGGAAUUACUGGGCUUAAAGAGUUCGUAGGUGGUUAAAAAAGUUGGUGGUGAAAUCCCAGAGCUUAACUCUGGAGCUGCCAUCAAAACUUUUUAGCUAGAGUAUGACAGAGGAAAGCAGAAUUUCUAGUGUAGAGGUGAAAUUCGUAGAUAUUAGAAAGAAUACCAAUUGCGAAGGCAGCUUUCUGGGUCAUUACUGACACUGAGGAACGAAAGCAUGGGUAGCGAAGAGGAUU